This 286-nucleotide unclassified non-coding RNA is filed under the name Hevea brasiliensis (rubber tree). Lineage: Eukaryota; Viridiplantae; Streptophyta; Magnoliopsida; Malpighiales; Euphorbiaceae. The record is from RNAcentral.
UAUUAUUAUUAUUAUUAUUAUUCCCAUUAAUGAUUCAUGAAUAUCCUGUCAUAUUUACUGGUGAAUUUGUACACAAAUUUCUGCUAGCUGCACACUUGGUUCCUAGCCCCAGUCCCUAGUCCUAUACUUUUUCUAAUGAAACAGUCACAUUUGUGACUGAAUAUGCAUUCCUUCAGUGAAUAUCUGUAGACAUAUAGUCAACUGAUGAACCCAUUUCUGAUUCUAUUUGUGAACUUGGUUGUAGGAGUGCUCGCCCACCAUGUUAAUUGUGCUUAUUACUCCACCA